CUCCAACCCUGUUCCUGGAGAGCUACGGUCCUGUAGGUUUCCACUCCAACCCUGUUCCUGGAGAGCUACUGUCCUGUAGGUUUCCACUCCAACCCUGUUCCUGGAGAGCUACUGUCCUGUAGGUUUCCACUCCAACCAUGUUCCUGGAGAGCUACUGUCCUGUAGGUUUCUACUCCAACCCUGUUCCUGGAGAGUUACUGUCCUUUAGGUUUCCACUCCAACCCUGUAGGUUUCCACUCCAACCCUGUUCCUGGAGAGCUACUGUCCUGUAGGUUUCCACUCCAAACCUGUUCCUGGAGAGCUACUGUCCUGUAGGUUUCCACUCCAACCCUGUUCCUGGAGAGCUACUGUCCUGUAGGUUUCCACUCCAACCAUGUUCCUGGAGAGCUACUGUCCUGUAGGUUUCUACUCCAACCCUGUUCCUGGGGAGUUACUGUCCUUUAGGUUUCCACUCCAACCCUGUUCCUGGAGAGCUACGGUCCUGUAGGUUUCUACUCCAACCCUGUUCCUGGAGAGCUACUGUCCUGUAGGUUUCCACUCCAACCCUGUUCCUGGAGAGCUACUGUCCUGUAGGUUUCUACUCCAACCCUGUUCCUGGAGAGCUACUGUCCUGUAGGUUUCUACUCCAAACCUGUUCCUGGAGAGCUACUGUCCUGUAGGUUUCCAUUCCAACCCUGUUCCUGGAGAGCUACUGUCCUGUAGGUUUCCACUCCAACCCUGUUCCUGGAGAGCUACUGUCCU
RNAcentral lists this long non-coding RNA (741 nucleotides) under Salmo salar (Atlantic salmon). RNAcentral describes it as "lncRNA (ENSSSAG00000115121.1)". The record is from RNAcentral. Lineage: Eukaryota; Metazoa; Chordata; Actinopteri; Salmoniformes; Salmonidae.